This 492-nucleotide ribosomal RNA is filed under the name uncultured bacterium. RNAcentral's name for it is "partial 16S ribosomal RNA". It matches the Rfam family "Bacterial small subunit ribosomal RNA", at positions 29 to 507 of the family's 1533-position model. The record is from RNAcentral.
AGUGAACGCUGGCGAUAGGCCUAACACAUGCAAGUCGAACGGCAGCACAGUAAGAGCUUGCUCUUACGGGUGGCGAGUGGCGGGCGGGUGAGGAAUACAUCGGAAUCUACUUUUUCGUGGGGGAUAACGUAGGGAAACUUACGCUAAUACCGCAUACGACCUACGGGUGAAAGCAGGGGAUCUUCGGACCUUGCGCGAUUGAAUGAGCCGAUGUCGGAUUAGCUAGUUGGCGGGGUAAAGGCCCACCAAGGCGACGAUCCGUAGCUGGUCUGAGAGGAUGAUCAGCCACACUGGAACUGAGACACGGUCCAGACUCCUACGGGAGGCAGCAGUGGGGAAUAUUGGGCAAUGGGCGCAAGCCUGAUCCAGCCAUACCGCGUGGGUGAAGAAGGCCUUCGGGUUGUAAAGCCCUUUUGUUGGGAAAGAAAAGCAGCAGGUUAAUACCCCGCUGUUCUGACGGUACCCAAAGAAUAAGCACCGGCUAACUUCGUG